RNAcentral lists this unclassified non-coding RNA (7677 nucleotides) under Leishmania donovani. RNAcentral describes it as "gene:LdHU3.31.1700(CDS-product:hypothetical_prote in_conserved)". Lineage: Eukaryota; Euglenozoa; Kinetoplastea; Trypanosomatida; Trypanosomatidae. The record is from RNAcentral.
UCACCUCACUCUCGUUGGCCCUUCCACUUUUCGCACGCUUAUCUGCGUUCUCCGUUGUGCCUGGACAGCGGUGCAUUGGCCCUCCUUUUUUUGUGUUUAUCGCUUGUCUUCGGACCCUUCCGCCGGACCUGUACGCUGGCUUGGUGUUGUCGGCGUGCGCUUCGAAAAGCAUGCGGGCGGUCGGAGACGCUGCCGAGGGUCAUACGCGCACAUGCACACACGCAUACCCAUAUACCUCUGCGUCUCCAGCCUGUCUGUCGAACGGCUCACUUGGGCAUUUCACGCGGGAAAAAUAAUUUUUCUAUUCUCUCUGUGCUUCAUCUCUUCGUGUUUGGGUCUCCGCGGCUGCCAAACGUGGGGUUACGUGGAAGGAAGAGAGAGUGCAAGACGGGUGCAGGGGAGAUGGGAUAAGGGGUAGCUUUCGUCUUUCUUGUCUGUGCGCUCCUCUUCUUUUUCGUCGUCGCUGCUUUCGUGUCCCUCGUCGUUCGCGGAAACUUCGGUCACGAGGAAGGCGGCAGCAACGAGUCAGUAGAAGAGCAACUCAUAGAAGAAGUCGGACUGCCCUGGCAGGCUGCCUCUCCUCGGUGCCGCUGCGUGUGACCGUUCGUGUGCGCUCACACGUGUCGGCGCUGCUUUACGGGGAGCCAUCGCUGCUUCGCUUCCGUUUGACGCCUUUUUUGAUUGCCCCUUUCGUGGUGGCGUUGCCCUGUCUGCCUGUCUCUCUGUCCGUCUGUCUGCCACUGUGUGUGCGUGUGUCUUUUCCAGGCGCUUCUUUUCAUUUUCGUGCCUUGGAGGGUUCGAAGGGUCGCAGUGGAAGUUAUCGUCGUCCUUACAGGUACUGCCAGAGUAUUGCAGAGCACGGACGUGGUGUGGAUAGCGUCCCUGCUCCUCUUCGCGGAACUGCAGGCGCCGAUAAGGCGCCAUCGACCCUUCUCUCUUGCUGUGAACCGCGGGCUGCUCGUCUUUGUUGGUGUUGUCGUCGUUUUGUCACGAUCCGAUGGGCUUCUUUUCGCUGCUCUCUGGCGGCGUUGUGAAGGCUACUGAGGGAAAGGAUGCGCGGGCGCACCGCGAGCGAACGAAUAUGUCAGCUUCGAGCGCCCAAGCAGACGGCGACGAUUCGCAUACGAAAGUGGUUUUGAGCACACCGGUCCGGCGGGUGCCUGCCAUGAACACGCAAUGCAAGGAGGAGCCAAAACGGUCGCGGCUGCACACUGUCGCGGUGCCGGUGAAGCGGGAUCGACUCUCUCUCUGGAGUCGACUGCUAUGCCGGCCGGAGGUGUACGACCCGCACGUGGAAGCAGCCCCGAUGACGUAUCUGCUCGAUGUGAACGAACCUCAUGCCAUGGUUAAUGAUGUGGAACGGGCAGACGUGCAGAAUGAGGAACACGCGGCAGUGUGCACGGAGAGCGAAGGGGAUUUGCCGCAGAGGCGAUACUCCGUGCGUGCCUCCAUCGGAGAGGGGUGUCGUGCCCGCACCCCACUACCAAAGGACGACGUCGAGCACCUUGAUGAUCCUGAGGACACCGUGAUGUCAUGCUGCAUGGCGAACGCUAGCAGUGAUGUAGAGGAGUUCGAGGAUGCGGAGGUGCAGAGCGAUGUUGCAGAGGCCAACGCAGGAGCGCCUCUCCUGCACCGGCAAGUAUUUCACGUCUUCGACACGCGGCGGUGCCGGGUGCGCACGCCGACUCUGCUGUGGAGCCCAACCUUGGCCGAUAACUUCAGCGUUACAGCACCAAUUCCAGCCGGCGGAAAUGCUCCUCCAACGGAUACGACGGAAAGCGGUGCCGCGUCUUCGCGUGGUUUGCGCCUCUCCACGGAGCGGCGGCUCAUCUCACGGGAGGAGCUUACAAAGAAGCGCCUGCAGAGGCGUCAGCAAUUGAAAGAGGCCGCGAAGCGUGAACGCGAGUACAAGGAAGCGUGGGCGGCGCUCGUUGCCUCUGCGGGGCCGCACGCAAGCAGUCCUGAAGAAGACGAGAUGGGUAGGCGAACAGAAGUGCAUAAUGCAGAAGAAAGAGGCUUGCAGAGUACUGCCGCCGCUGGUGCUGCAGCCACCCCUGCUGUGAUUUCCUCGUCUCUGACCAAUGAGGCUCUUGAGUCCUUGCGCGAAGGCACGCAGCCGCUGUCCUACGAUCUUCCCGAGACGUUCCUCGCAAGACUGGGCCACUAUACACAGUUGCCCAAGAAGGCGAAGGGCGGCGCUGGGGAGGCGGCAGCGCUUGCGCAGGACAGCGACCGCGCUGGGAGUUGCUCCAGUCGCUCUAGCAACGGCAGCAGUCAGAUCGCGCUCGACGACGAGCAUGUGAAUGUGGAAACGGGACUCCCGCUCAUGUACGGCUCCAUCUUGAGAUGCCGGAACUCCACCUCGAAGACGAGGGACGUCAGCGGCGAAGCUGCAGCCUCUCGCACUCCCCGAGGGGCGACCGCGGUGCGAGGUGGAAGCCAGCGCCUUCCCGCUGGAAAGUACCUGCUUGGCUCUCGUGCCUAUGUAGAGCGUGUGCUGUUUGCGCAGCGCCGCCAACAGGAAUGUGCGCUGUUUGCUCUCAUCACAGAGGCUCAUCGCCAGGCGCGCGAGGCCCACCGCCGUCUUGCGCAGCUCUACUACUAUUACAUCAUCCCCAUUCUGGCUCAGUACAGCACGGAGAACGAGAUCAGAGGGCUGGAGCGGUCGCUGCUGCAGUGCGGCUCUGGCGCGCUGCGUGCGUACCACUCGGAGUUCUGCCGCACUGUAGGGUAUAGCCGAAGCGAGUCGCAGUCGAGCGUUUCUGGCGGUACUUCAGGUUCCAUUGCCUGCUGUUUCCAAGUGCAGCCGGUCGACUACCAGCUGGCUGAGUAUCGCUUCGAGAGCGUGUGGCGAGAGCUGUUUACGGACGUAAAGGCGUACCUUGGUAUGCAAGCCUGCGAGGAUGACGGAUUUUCUACGUUGCCGUCACUUUCGGAGCUGGAGGACGGCGCUGCUGCCUCGAGCGGCACUACUUCCGCCGGCCACGGGUCCGUGUGCGUUGCCGCUACGGUGCUCCACUCCAUGGAAUUGUUUGAGCGUCAGCGGCACACUUACAGCGCUGCGCGCGACGCGGAGGAGUGGCUGGCUUGGUACUACUAUUACUUUACCCCUCACGUGCAGCGCGCCGACUCUGCCGAGGAGCGGGCGGCAAUCCAGCGGAGUUUGCUUCCCCCACCGCCAUCACCGUCAUCAACGUCGGUAUGCCAAACAGAGCCAAAAUACGGCGAUGGGCGCUCGCAGAUCCGUGCCAAUGAUCCGGAGCCGCUGCAGCCACACCCGCUAGAGAACGAAUAUCUUCCAUUGUGCUGGACGCUGGCGUGCAACACAGCACAGAGGGAGAAGGUGCUGAGCUACCGCCGGGACCUGAAACUGCGGGCCAUCGAAAGCUCCCUCAAGCAGCGAUCAGUUGCAGUGGGCGACAGCGCUGCUGCGAGGGCUACCGAUUGCACCGGUACAGCCAGCGAAACGGACUCUGCGUCCGCGACGACCGUCAACACUGUCAAGCCAACCUGUGAGACGGUCGGUGCCAACGUGGCGACUGCAUCUUCCGAAUGCCAUCUGCUGAAGCACGUGCCAGAAAAUGGCGACUUGGUCGACAGCGCGCACAAGACGGAGGCAAGCGGGCUGAUCGAAAAGGACGUGGAAGCGGACCUUGAGGAAGCCAGUCUACUAAAGCCCUCGUUACAACUCCUUUCAGACGGUGCGAUCAGCAGGCAGAACCAUGGCGUCGUCGAAGUAGAGGACGUGGACUCAGAGGAGACGGAGGACGACGAUGGUGCCAUCCCUGCUGGUACGCACCACACUGUGAACGUUGGCUGCUUCGGCCUUUCGUUUUUUUCCAUCUUUGAGUAAGCAAGACGAUCCAUCCAAAUACACGCACGCACGCACGCACACACAGCGAAGUUCCCAACCGCCCGCCAUCACUGCACUCGAGUUCCGCGGGCACCUCGUCGCCAUGUGCGUGUAGGCGUGCGCGAUUUUGAUCGCUCGCGCUACGCUGCAUACCUACACAUAUACCUACAUGUGUAGGUGUGCAUUCAUAUGUAUAGUUCUAUAUCGAUGUACGUGCUUGUGUUUGUGUGCGUGUGGUUCUCUUGUGUGUACGUGUUGCGGUGUUGUUUGUUUAUUUCUGUGCUUGUCUCGCUCUCUUCUCCAGACUACCACCCCCGCUCUUUUCCGUUGUCUGCUGCGUUUCCAUCCAUCCAUUCACCCACCCAUUUCCUCUUCUUUCUACACGGUUGCUCUCUUUCUUUUCUUUGAAUCCUCUUUAAUUUCGCUUGUUGUUUCUGUGGUUCUUCUCUUUUCUGGUCCGCGUGUGUCUCCGGCUCGUUGCUUCUCCGCCGCUUCGCGUGCCCUGCUUUUUGCUUUCAAGUGGGUGCGUGUGUGGCUGUGCCGGUGUGUGGUGUUGCUGUUUUCUUUUUUUUUUGCCUAAUCAUGGCGUGCGACAAUGGUACAGUCAAAAUGGGAACCAAACUCUCUCUCUAUUUUUCACCUGUUUCUGUCGCAGGUGUUUCGCCUUUUAGUGGUGGUACCGUCCCCGUCCUCCUGCCGGAGUUUGCGUGAUUGGGAGAGGCACACUUGCCAUGCCGCGUAUGUGUGCAUGUGUGCGCUCGUCCUGUAGGCGCCCACGCGUUUCUCCGGAAAUGUUUUUUUAUAUAUCGAUUUGAUUCGUUUCCUGUGCGCAAGCGUUUUUGAUUUUGUGGUUAUUUCUUUUUUUUUAACAAGUUCGACUUUAACCUUCUCCGAAUGCUUCGUGCCGUUCUUCUUCAUUGUGUGCGCGGAGCAUCGAUAUUUUUGUUUUCUUGGUGUUUCGUACUUGACCUCGAGACAGGUUGCAUCCUCAGACACACACACACACACACACACGCAUCGCCCUUCCUCUUGCCGGGAUGUCGAUCGUUGUCAAGGUGUCGCAGUGCGUGCUAGUGCCAGUGCAGAGUGGCGGUGCCAUGGUAGCCAUGCGUGUGUGCACUCCCUCUCUUGCUUCUUGUUCCCAGCCAUGCCUCCACCGCCCUUCCUCCCCCCUGUUAGCCACGUACUGGAGAGCACACCGAAAAGGAACCCCUAAAAUAAAGCGCUGCGUGCUUUCAUGUCUAACGCCUCUUUUUCUCGAUUUGCUUCUGAGGCGCAUUAAGCGAAGACAUGCACUGACAUCAUAUCUGUUUUUUUUUUUUCGUUGCUGCGCUUCCUGAUGACGAACGGACACGCCUUUACGUGGGAUCUCAGGCUUCAGUGCCCCCUUCCCCCUCCCCCCACUCUGUACGUGGGCGGAAGCCAAGCAGCCCUCCUCCCCUCCAUCCCCCUGCCAGGCGCUGAGCUACUUCUGGUGGUGGCAGGGCGGCGCACCUACCUACGUAGGGAGAGGUCAGAGCGAUGCACGGCUACUGACGUCGGCAGUGAGGUCCUGGCUGGCGUCGCGUCGAAGGGACCUGCGACAGUGGACGCGCUUGUGCCAUCGAUGUGAUGGGCAGGGUGUGCCAGCUUGACUCGGACGCACCCCACCCCCGGCAUUCACUGCCUACUGGUGAGGAAUCUGAGCGAUCGCGAGGGACGCACCACUUGGUGACUGACAUAGUGUGAGCGAUUGCUAGGCGACCUGCAUAUAGGGCGGGGUGCGUACCGCUUGAGCCAGAGACCGUGCUCCGAUGGCUGAGUCGGCACAUUGCCGUAGCGCGGGCUUGCCACUGCUCUGCACGAAUCGAUGAGGGUCUGUGACGGGCCGGGGGUGGAGCGACGUUCAAGUCAUGUAUGGGAGAGAAGUGUACCCGUGGAAAGCAAAGGGCUAGUGCGCUGCAUCAAGUAAGCGCUUAGCGGAUGAAAAAAAAAUGAAUCAACCGCAAGCCGUUAGUGGGAGGGGGGCGCCGUAAGCAUCUUCUGGCGCCACCCGGCUCAUGCACGUAGGAGAAUCAUUCAGGCACGUGCCUUCCUGCAGGUGGUGGUCUGUCGUGCGACUGGUAGUUGUGUGAGAAGGGCGCAGUUUUACUGUUUACGUGUGUAUUGGUUUUCUGCCCAGCCCCCCUCCCUUUCUCUGUUUCUCUGCACGUGCAAGAAGAAGCGGUGCAAGAGACGAAGAGAGAGAGAAGUUGUCUCUACAUCUUUGCCGUUGUUUGAGCUCUCGCGGAGAGAAGCGAACAACACCCCCCCCACCCCCGUGUCGCUGACCUGCUGUACUCUGAACUUGCCGAUUUGCUGAACACUUUCCUUCCCGUUCUCUGGGGCCUAGCUUCAUACUACCUACCUAAGCGUUUCCUUGUUUUUUUUUUGUUGUUGUGUUUUGUGUAUUGCCGUGCUACACGUCGCUUGGCUGGUGGGCGAGUCCGACGAAGCCCGUGCGCUGUGAUGUGGUUGUCUUUUGUUUUCUGCUUUACUUCCAAGCGAGUCGACACGCCGUUGGGUACUGCCCGUGUCAUUCACGCGGCCCACCGCCACGAGGCGCAUGUGCAUGUUGAGCAUAGCAGCGACGUAAGCACACACACACACACACAAAGCAAAUAUGGGCACGUAGUGGAGCAUGAGUGUGACGCAGCCGAAGGGAAGUCCAAGGAAGCGCUGAUGUGUGGACGGUGCUGUAAGAGGGCCACGACACACCUCUUUCUUGAACCUUCUGUGAACUCUUCUCGGGCCACUCUUUUUUCCUUGUCUGCUUCGCUGGCUUUAUCCUCUGAAGCGACGAUAGAAGGAACGUGUCAACUGGCGAGUAGGGAACCUGUGGGGUGUAUGCAAAACGGAAGAGAAAAACGAUAGCUGAUUUAUCAUGCAACACGAUUGAUGUUUGGAAACCAAGUAUGCCCAUGGACACGAGUGGAUCACACAUGGAGGGCAAGACUCUCUGUCUUUUCGCGAUGUGCACCUGUGUGUUGAUAGUGACCACUUGAGCAUCGACUUGAAGUCCUUUCUGUCGCAUGGAAUGAACAACAAGACAAUGAUUUCUCUCUCUCUCUGUGUGUGUGUGUGUGGCUGCUGUGUGUGCGCGUGUUUGUGUGCGGUCCUCUUGGUGCUGUCAUUGCGCGUUUCGCCUCCGACACUGGAGCACCAAUGAACAUCUUCAUUGUCACCGCGUUGGGCAGGCUUCUUCCGCUUGCCGCGCUCCGCUUUCUUUUUGGUUUCCAUCGAAUGACUGCGAGCAGCGCACUUUUUUUCUUGUGGUGGUGGUGUCGGGGUGUGUGAGCUACACGUGCUCGGCCUGCAUCAGCGACUCUUUUCUCCCCCCCCCGCCACUCCCGCCCCGUGCCGGUUGUUAUUUUGUCCAACUUCGACGUUCAUUGCCUUUCUUUAUUUUGUUUUGGGUGUGCCUUUAUCUGUUCACAGUUGUGUCGUUCUUUAUGCUUGUUUGUGCUGCCUGCUUCGCUUUUCGAUGCUCUCGGUGCUGAAGACGUCAACGGAGGCUUGACGGGAGUAGCUGCGAAGCUCUCCAUCACUCGCGCACCACUGCUGCGUGGGCGCUGGGGGAAUGGUCAUCGUUUUAUUGUGCUCUUACGUGAAGGCGGCGCGGUGGAUGAAUGCGCGCAGGCAAGCACCAUUCGCGUACCGGUGCCAGCGUGGGACCUUGUCGUCACGCAUCUUGCGCGUACGUCUUCUCACGACACACCCCGCGCUUUCCUUAUUUGGGAGGCAUCGCAAUCUCCUCCGUCGAACGCCUGCGGCGCCAGAGUCCAUCCUAGAUGCUGUGAUACGAG